This is a non-coding RNA of Podarcis muralis (Common wall lizard), 3705 nucleotides long. Lineage: Eukaryota; Metazoa; Chordata; Lepidosauria; Squamata; Lacertidae. The record is from RefSeq and is a predicted model, not a curated record.
CUACCCCCGCCAAGUUGAGCCCAGCUUUAUGAGGAGGGGAGAAAAAAAAGAAAAGAGAUAGAGAGAAAAAGUGGAGGGGAGGAAAGCAAGAAGACGCCUCGGAAGAGGGAGGGCUGUUUCUGUCUUUGGUUAUCUAGCUGUAUGAGUGUUAUCAAGCCAUCAUAAAGCUAGAUAACCGAAAGUAGAAAUGACUUCCAAAGACUUCUGGGAGCUGGGAGGCGAAGAGGAGCAGCACGGAAGAAGAAGAAGGAGGAGGAAAAGUCCGGGGAGCUGGAGACAAGGGGAAAGAAAGCGAAGCCAAAAGAUCAAGAUUCUCAGGGAAUGAAGUUGUCUGCGGCUGCUGGCGUUUGAGAAAUGCUCCCCGCGUUGCUUCAAUACAGACGUGACUGAGAGUUCAUGACUUGGGAUGCGGUGACACAAAGAGACAAGACAUCUCUCUCUCUCAGCUUGGAGAGAGGCUGUGCGACAUUCUGCUGCCGAGAUAAGGAACUUCCAAUUUGGCACAAGCUGCAAACGGCGAUGAAGAUGGAGGGCCACUGCGUGCGUCUCUGGCUUUUAAUUCCCCCUGCCCUACUUCCUCCUCCUUAGUCCUGCUCUCCCCUCCCUCAAAGCCCAUCCGUGCUGUGUGCGGUGCCCUCCAAGAACAAGUAGGAGGAGGCUGUGUGUGUGUGUCUGUGUUUGUGUAUGAAAGAAGGGCAGCCCCUCUCCCUGAGAAGAGACCCUCUCAACAACUCCAGGCCACCCUGCCGCAGCUUAUAGGUUCUCGGUGCCAGGAAGCCAUUUUGAUGGAGUCAAAUGCCGUUUUGUAAGAUGGCCGCAUUGACGUGAGAUUAUUAUGAUGGGGAAUUUCAGGAACUUGGAAAACGUUGAUUUUUUGGUCACGUUUACUACAGAUGAAGGCAUGCCUGCUUUUCCUGUUUCACACGGACCUGAUUUUCAAGCCAUCUUUCUUCAGGAUACCCUACACAGCAAGAACUUUCUUGGGACUCUAGGCUUUGAAUUUUUGGAUUGUCUAAUGAGACAGGGGAACUGGGCCAGAAAAGCCCGUCUCUGGACAUGGAAAUUGGACAGUGUUGGGUCUCCAUCUUUCUAGGGUCUGCCAUGCUUUGCUGAUUUGGAUCACACAUGGAAACCAAGAGCAGCUCUGUAUAGCUAAGAUACUGAAGGAGGAGGAGGAAAACAACCAUGGCAAAGAAGCAAAUGUCUGAACUGUGAACUUUCUUAUCUGUAGUCAUUGAUGUCAUUAAGAGGGAUGUGAUAUCAUUGAUAUGGCUUGUGACUCAAUGGAGAUAGACAGCUGGGGGACCUGAGCUGAUUGUUGGGGGCUGAUUUCACCUAGGAUCACUUAACCUUUUUGGCACAGGCAUCAGAAAAUGACCAGGCCAGUAGCUUUUCAAAAUUAUACCUAUUAGAGACAUGUAUUUUCUACUUUGACUUGUCUACACCAUAUUGAGUAAGUUCUUGGGUGAAAACUCAGGUGACACAUGACACUAUUCACACCUGUUAAACAUCAGUGUAGCUUCUGAAGUGCGUUCUUUCACCAAGGAGUUCCCCCAUGGCUCCAGAUUUCAAGGGAAGAUCAUUGAUUGGGGAAGCUUGCCUGCUGUUCCUGAUCUUAACUCAGAAACCUAGGAUUCCCUAGGACCUGGGACUGGGUCUCACACCUGCCUGCAAGAGUACUGCAGUACUCAGCAUGAAUUGCAGCUUCUAGGUCAAGCAGAAGGGAAGCCCCACGUAGAGAGCAUUGCAUCCAGUUUUGAUGUUUUGGUUGGGCUCCACAACAUGACAACACAUGGCAGCAACAUUGCAGGUCUGCUCUGAAGUAGAGUCUGGAUCUGGUCUGUGCCUAAAUGGGUGACUUCCUGGGAACAAUAUAGAUUCUGUGAUGGAAGAAAAGCAGGCUAUAAAUGUAAGAAAUCUAAUAGAAUUUUAUCACAAAUUAUGCGUGUACAAAUUCAUUUUGUCUCACAUGUGUACAUUUCUAAUCCUAUUUUAGCCUAAAAUAUCUGUUUCUAAUGCAUGGUUGAGGGGGAAGCAAGCCAAGAACAGUCUCUCAGAAUUUGGAGAAUCCAAAAUUUGAAAGAUAAUUAUAUUUAAGUUCCAAUUCUCCACAUUAAGUCUGGGAAGCGCAGAUCAGUUCUUUUAGCUUCAGAACUGCCAAAACAAAUUCCUCAGGCAUCUCUAGUGCAGAACAGUAGGUCACUGCAGUUUAAUUUUAAUACAAAGGACAAUGACAGUGUGGUGUAGCUGUUGGAGUGUUGGAUUAGGAAUGGGAAGACCAGGGUUCAAGUCACUGUGUGAUUUUGGGCCUUUUCAUCUGAACCUACCUCACAGGGUUGUUGUGAGGACAAUAGGAGGGGAAGUAUGUAUACCAUUCAGUGGGUCUUGAUUUUUAGUAGAUGGUAUAGGGUUGUGUGAUAAAUCCCACAUCAUUUAAUGCCACUUUCUCUGUGUGCUCCAUUUGACAUCUGCUGGCUAGGAUUGCAGUGGUUUGCUUUGAAAAUAACACGUUCCCCCGUAUUAUAUAUUGCAUUUUAUCAAUGUUAACUGCCACAUGCGUAACUGAUUAGCUGGGUGGUCAUGUGAAAAAGAGAGUGGUGCUCCUGUACCUUUAUUAGUUGAUUCCAGUAGGUGUUGGUUCUUGUCAUGCUCCUAUUAAAGGUGCAAGAGUCCAUUCCUCCCGCACUGCUCUUGGCUGCCCUAGGUAUAAACACACUGAUCUUGUAUGGCAUCGCAGGUAACAACACAAUUUUCUUUUUUAAAUGGGGCUUACUUCCAGGUAGGUGGGUACAGGAUGCACUGGAAACAAUGGGAGUGUGCUUCUGAGUACACCUGUGUAGGAUUGCAUUGUGAACUAUGAACCAGAAGGGUCCCCAAGCUUCUGCUAUGAACCUUACAGAAGUCACUCAGUCUCACCCUCUGAUCCCUUUUGCAAUGUGGGGAUAGCAUAAGACUUACCUUAGGGCAUCCAUUUCCAACCUUGUGCCCUCCCAGCUGUGUAGGACUACAACUCCCAUUGGCCCCAACCAGGGCAGCUGUUGUCUGGUUGGGAGUGAUGAGAGUUGCAGACCAAAACAGCUGGUUGAAGAAGUCUCACAUACAGGAUGGUUGUAAAGAUUAUAGCAGGCAUCCCCAAACUUGGCCCUCCAGCUGUUUUUGGACUACAAUUCCCAUCAUCCCUGACCACUGGUCCUGUUAGCUAGGGAUGAUGGAAGUUGUAGUCCCAAAACAACUGGAGGGCCGAGUUUGGGGAUGCCUGGAUUAUAGCAGAUGUGAAGCAUUUCCAACACUCUAUAAAUGCUGAAGUAUAAAAUGCUAGAGUUGCAAUCCUGUAUCCACUUAGCUGGAGGCAAUGUGAGUAGAUGUGUAUAGGACUGUGUCAUCAUUGGCCAGAUCUGUGCUGGGUUGAUUUCAAAUCUUGUCAUUUGGAUAUGUUUCUCUUUUCCAACAUGCGUUUGAUGUUUCUGCCAUUUAGAGUCUAAUUUUGACUUGGUUCCCUAUUGGCUAUCAGUUCUGUGGUUUAUUGCUGCUUUGCCCCUUGUUGCAAUGUGUUUUUAUAUUUCAUUGUUGGGGGGUUGUUGUUGUUGCUUUUUACAUUGUUUAUCACUGCCAUUAGCACAAAAACAAAACCCAAUACCUGUCUCUAAUCCAAUUCCUUAUUAUUAUUAUUAUUGUUUAUUAAAGUUCAAUCAUUGUGACAAUAAA